This is a long non-coding RNA of Capsicum annuum, 3444 nucleotides long. RefSeq lists it as uncharacterized. The record is from RefSeq and is a predicted model, not a curated record. The transcript has 5 exons. NCBI's taxonomy places the organism in Eukaryota, Viridiplantae, Streptophyta, Magnoliopsida, Solanales, Solanaceae.
CCUGACCCGACCCGACCCACUCUAUUAUCUCUAUCAAUAACGCGGCAAAACGACGACAACAACAGUUGUAUCAGCAAACAGCAUACAAAAAAUCACCGACAAUAGCGUACAUACACAUGACAACAGUAAUACUGAUAGUAACAACGAUGCCAGCAAUAGUCGAACAACACCAACGACAAUCUUCGGACCGAUGGAUGGAUACAAAUCCGUUGGGUCAUCACCUCUCAUCUCUUUUUCUCUCUUUGUUCCAACAAAGCAAGCCCGAGGCUCUGUGAACUCAGGAAAGAGAUGGGAAACUCCAAAAAUCCAUCGUAUUUGAGGUAUUUCACCCUUGAUUGGAUGACUAUAGAGCUUAAUCUAAUGAUCUCAAGCCCCCAUUGCCUCCACUUUUUCUUUAAUUUGAUUGAAAGAAGUGAACCCUUUUCUGACCUUUAUUUCUUUUCAUCCAUUAAUCCUGCUGAAUUGGUAUUCCCAGUUAUGAAUUCAAAAUUUAAAUAUAUUUUUUGGGAAUUGUUGAAAGCCUUAAGAAGCCACUACAAUCCAAGAACCCCUAUAAAACGGGGUUCAGUAGAAGAGAAAAGGGUUCUUUUUGGGGGGAUCACACUCUUUAGUCACUGAUUUCUCUACUUUCUUGGCUCUAUUUUCCUUUGUUUUCAUUUACUUCCAUCACUCUCGUUGACUCUCUUUCAUCGGACGAGUUCGUAAUCAAAGAUAGUGGCGAAAUCGCUCUUCGACCUGUCGUCCUAGUUUGCUGCCCCAGAAAAGGAGCACAUUUGAAGUCUCAUGGCUUGACUCUGUCUCUGUCCAAAUCGGAGAAACGAUAAUAGAUGCAUCACACCUUUUCAUCUAGCAGUCUAGUGCCUCUUUCCCUAUUUCAAGUUUUAUUCUUCCUAGACAUUAUUAUUAUUUUGUUUAAUACGUUGUACAUUAUUAUUUCAAAUUUGCAUUUUUUGUAUGUCUCUCAAUUGAAUUAGCGUGAUUCUUUAAAUAAUUUUAAUAAGUUUAAGUGUUACCUUUUCCCCUUUAGAUUCUAAACUUAGCACAAAUAAUAGACUUAGGUAUUUAUUUUAUAUCAUUAAAAGGUUAAAAUUUGGUAGGUAAAGCCAUGCCCUUUAGAAUAAAUGGUCAAGUUUGUUAGAAUCCUUUAAUACUCCUUUAAUAUGACAUAAUAACCCAUCUUUAGAAUCCAGUUAGUUCUUCACUAAUUAGUAACUUUGGAUUAAUAAAACAUAAGUUUUUUGCGGAAAAUCGGCUUCACUAAUUUGGAUAUGGUAAAUGAAAUUUUACUCUAUUUUUUAUUUAUUUAUUUAUUUAUUAUCAUGAUUAUUAUUAUUCAUUAAUCUCAAGUAAAAGAUGGCACUUCGCAAGCCCCUCUUUUAGGAUUUCUAAUGACGAAAAUAUUUAUUCAUUUUUAGCUUCAUCAUAAUAAUAAUAAAUUCUCAAGUUAUUUUAUAUCUAAACAAUUAUAUAUUUUAUCUAUUCACUUAGUGUAUGAUAAUUAACUUAUUUUUAUGAAAAAUUGAUUUAAAAAAGCAAAAGAGCUCAUUUUGUUAGAAUAAAAUAAGGAGUUCUUCAUAUAAUUAACUUUUAAUUGAAAGCUUUUUUAAAGAAAAUAAUUUUAAAUAAUCUUCUUUUGAAAACAAUAAGGCUACAUUAUUUUUAGGAGUUAUCUUUGAUAAUCUUUCAAAAGUGGAAAAAUUUUUAGUUUUUAAUUUUUGUUUUAUAAAUAAUUGGCGUGUUUUAUUUUAAUAAAAUGUAUAUAAUAUAUUUUUUUUCAUAUCCCUCUUAACAUAGCUUUGAUUUCCUUAUCUAACUUAAGUUUGGCCGGUUAACCGUAGUUAGUGGAUCCUUUAGGGUGCCUAAUCCCUUCCCUUUAGGAUAAUUAGAAUCCUUACCUAGAAUUUCAGGUUGUGUAAACCUUAAAAUGAAGUCUUUAAUUACUUUAAUCACAUAGUUUAUAAUAGGUGUCCUAAUUCACCGUAGAACUAAUUUGGUGGCGACUUUCUUAUUUAACUCAAAAAUUUUCCAAUAUAUUGUACCUCGGUUUGACCCAUCUUAAAAUGGGGUAUAACAGAUGCGUGUAUAAAUGAUUAUUGAAAUUUACUUGAUGGAAUUGUCUUAUGACUUUAAGUGUACUUGUAAACUUGGUACAUCGUGUUGUAUGCUGUGAGGUAGAGUAAAUUUGAUAUUGAUAAUACUAGUUUAUGUUGGAUCGUGUACCACGUUGGUACAGUACAUGAAAAUAGACUGUUCCCUGCAGGUCAUGAAUAUUUGGACAAAAAUAAGUCUCAUAGCAUAUGUUUACAUAUUUGUGUUGAUUUUGUGGAUGUUUAUAGUAUGGUUGAUACUCUUGAUGGUUAUGUGGCUUAUUUGUGAGCACUGUUUAACCUGUUAUUGUUGUAUUGUUGAUUCAUUAAGAAUUUGUUAUGUGAUGAUGCUUGUCCACUUGUUAUUUGAUUUAUGUUGUGUACAUGUUAUUAAGUUGAGUUGUCCUAUAAUACCUACCAGUACAUAAUGGUUUGUACUGAUACUACCCUGUACUCUUCUUUUGUUGAGUGCAGAAAGUAUUCCAAAGGCUCAAACACGACCUCACCUCUAGAUUUUGAUAACAGAUCUUGAUCCAAGGGUGAGCACUCCGUCUCCAGACUGCCACAGAUUUUUGAACGUUUCAAAAAUUUGAGGAAGGGCAAGACACUUGUGGACUAGUGAUAUUCGGGUUCCUUGAUUGAGAAAGUGUUCCAGAGGCUCAAGCACGACCUCGCCUCUAGAGUUUGAUAGCAGAUUUUGAUCCAAGGUUGUACAUAAAUAUCACUCAAGUUAUCGCCCCUCAUCCUCCCGAGGAUCCAUCUUCUUCUAAAAGGCUGGCAAAUAGUGGUUUUUCUGAUUACUUUUAUGAGUUAAAUGUUUGGAACAAUGUUGAGGCGGAAACUUACAUAACAACUUCUCGGGAAGAGCUUAAGUAUUAUCUUCGAACGCCGAUAGAGGAUCGUAGAUGACGGAUCAACACGUUAGAUUGGUGGAAGAAUAAUGAAAGAAAAUAUCCUGUGCUUUCAAGAUUAGCUAGAGAUAUAUUGAAUGUUUCAAUGUCAACCGUUGCAUCAGAGAACACUUUUAGUCAGGGACGACAACAGCUUAGAGACAACUAUACUCAAUGGGAAGCAAUUCUAUGAAUGUUCUGGUUUGCCUUUGAUAUUGCAUUAGAGCAGAACAGAGAGGUGGAACCGAAAGACGAACAGAAUCUUGAAGAAAUUAUAACUUCAAGGGAGAACUCAACACAAUCAAGUCCAAUGCAUGGUUUUGCCCCCAUUGAUUUUGACUAUCCUAUGCCAGUUUCCGUUAAUAUUAACAUAGAUGAGUUGAAAAAAGUGAUACAAAAUUUGUAGAUUUUUCAUUCAUGUACAUUAUAAACUUUGGAUCAUUUUACAAUCAAUAAAAUAUAACAUU